UACGUAGGGGGCAAGCGUUGUCCGGAAUCAUUGGGCGUAAAGAGCGUGUAGGCGGUCCGGUAAGUCGGCUGUGAAAGUCCAGGGCUCAACCCUGGGAUGCCGGUCGAUACUGCCGGACUAGAGUUCGGAAGAGGAGAGUGGAAUUCCUGGUGUAGCGGUGAAAUGCGCAGAUAUCAGGAAGAACACCGAUGGCGAAGGCAGCUCUCUGGGACGGUACUGACGCUGAGACGCGAAAGCGUGGGGAGCGAACAGG
RNAcentral lists this ribosomal RNA (253 nucleotides) under uncultured bacterium. RNAcentral describes it as "partial 16S ribosomal RNA". It matches the Rfam family "Bacterial small subunit ribosomal RNA", at positions 524 to 776 of the family's 1533-position model. The record is from RNAcentral.